AAGCUUUAGGGCUUUUUAAAUCUCUUACAACCGCUGUACUUCAUUUUUGUCAUCUUGUACAUGUGUAAAAUUGUAUCACUCCCAUUUACAGUUCGUUAGUAGGGUAAUUCAUUGAAAAGUCUCUGUGUGAAACAGUGACAUCUAGUGAGCAGACUGUGGCAGACAUAAAAACUGUCCAUAAUAUUGUGCACUAAUUCUUUGAACUAUGAUGACAAUCCCAACAUUCUUGGUUUGUAUUGACAGAGCCUAAUAGGGGUUAUUUGGCUGUGGUAUAAACAGUUGGCUCGGUGACUGAGGGCUUCUGCAGGAAAAGUACAUAUCUCGAUUAUUCACUGACUGAAUUUUCAACAGAGUCACUUCAGAACAGUAGAUUCUUGCUUUGUCCGAGACCAGCAGGACUUUCUGUUUAAGUUGACAGGGAAAGGUCAAACAGGAGCAAACCUAGCGAGCAUGAUAUAACAUGCAAGACUGUGAGAUUGUCCCAGAGGACUAUGACUGGAUGAGUGGUACCAAACCCUGCUGACAAGGUCCAGAACAUUCUCCUUUAAAAGUCAAGACCCAUUUUUCUCAGAACAGCAGGAACUAAAUCCAACAGGAAGAGGGGAGGUGAAAGAGAGCAGUUUGUGUGUGUGUGUGUGUGUGUGUGUGUAUGUGUGCGUGCAUGUGUGUGUGUGUCGUUGUGCAUAUGAAUCAGUGUGUGUGCAUGACAGAGGGCCUGUUUUGCAAGGCUGUGGCUGAACUUCUAGUAUCUCUGGAACUGGCUUUCGCCCAAACCCUGACACAUCUGUCCAGAAUCUGAAGACAAAGAAGAAGGAAGAGGGGGGGCAAAAUUGUGUGUGUGUAUCUGUGUGCCUCUGUGUGUGUGUCUGUGUGUGCCUGACAGGACAUUCUGUAAAACUUCUGCUCAUGUGAUGGUUAGUUUUAUAUAACUUUCAAACACAUUACUGUGCAUACUUCAUUGAGCAUGCUGGAGCUGCUAACAUGCACACACAUCCACACGUGUUUAGUAUCUGUGAAGAGCAGGGUUAAGUAAGCAGUUAGCGCUGAUAACCCUGACAUUAGUCUGGCUACUCUCAUUGGCUUAUCUCUCUAUGAUGUCCUCAAACUCCCUGGCUGGCAGCCAACAGAAACAGGACAAGGGAAAGCUCUGCCCCAAUCAAUGGCAAGAAAACAUGCUGAGCUGAGACACAGGAAAGGAGCGAAUGAGGGAACCGAUGAAAGGUCUGACAUUUCAGGUCUUGGUUAUUGUUAGUGGCCAGUCUGACAGGGCUGUGUUAAUUCACACAUGUGUUUUUAUAUUGGCUAUCUCCAGAUGUUGAAACAGUGUGUGGUUAGCAAGCUAAAAAAAAAAGAGACACAAAAUUUGAAACUGAGCAGGUUGCCUUGUCCUCUCGUCGAACAAACUGCACUGGCUAUAUUUCAGUUUCCAAUAGAGGUAUGAUACAAUGUCAACAGCGAAAGGAGGGAUAGCAUGGAUGGUUAUAAAUUUGUUUAGAACAUUUUUUUUCUUCUUCUUCUUCUUUUUGUGGUUGAAAUUUUUCCUUAAAAGUCAGCAGAUUAGAUUUGAAGGACUAAAACUAACUAUAACUAACUCAACAAUCUGAAAGCACAGCCUUGAUGGUGUUGUAUUUAGGCCGGAUCUCAGGCUGGAGCUCAGUACAGCUAUGCUUGUUAUGACAAAAGGUCACCAAAGUCAGUAGGUUAUGUGCUUUUGGUAAUGCAGCCUAUGUUUGAAUGUCCAGAUUCUGAAUGCAAAAUGUUUUAAUGUACUAAAAAAACAUGAAGGAAUGAAUUUUGAAAUGUCAAACAACCCAGUGUCAACAUUAAGGUACAUUGCGUGAACCGAUUAAUGGUGCAGUGUGUAUUAACAUUUUCUAGAUAAAGGGCAGUUUUAGUUAAACCAGGUUUGUCAAGAGUUAAACUGUAGACACUUGGACUAUUCAAUGAAUUUAUACAUAUCAUUAAAUCUUUCAUCUUCAAACUCUUAAUAUCAUUUUUUUAUAUUAGUGCUCUUAAGGGUGUCUGUUAUUGAGAUGCUAAUAAUGACAGUGUAUUUAAUGAAAACGCUAACAGGAAGUUAACUGUAACCCUAACAAAUACCCAUAGAAUCUAUAGGGAUUUUAGCUGUGAGCUAAAUUUUUGUUGGUUCUGCUCACAAAUUCAUAUCGUAUACUUUGAUUUUGGCCACAGCAGACCACAGUUUUUUACUUACAACGCACCAUACAAGACAAAACAGGAAACAGACACAUAAAACAUCUAAAUUGUGAAUGUAGAGUGCAGCUAAAUAUCUUGAUUUUUCUCUGAGGAAAUGGAGGGUGGGGCGUCGAUAACAGAGUUAAAAGUGGAGAAAACACUGAACUUUAAUCAAGCAGGUUGUUGGAAACAAACCAAACCAUUAUCCUGCUGGAUGAUUACUGGAAACAUAAAUGCACCCCGUCUUUUUUAACAAUUUGAUUCUGUAUUCUGUUUUUGAGUCUUCUGUGCUGCCUUUGAAUGGCCGUAAAAAUAUUAUUGGGAAGAAAUUUCAGAAAAAGUGCUUGCAUGGUGACUGUUUUGAGUUGUACACAUGAAAAUAGAAGCAAAAACACAACAGUGUUAUGGCCUAGUCUCAGGUUAGGGUGGGAUGGAGCAGCUGGCCUUUGAGUGAAAAUCUGGUUUAAAGUCAUUAUUCUGCUGUCCAGACCAGAGCAGACCUGUUUUUAUCAGAGGAAUAGUCUUGGUAGAAGCUUUGAUGAAGGGACAGUCUGAGAGAACGAGGAAAGGGCUUUCAAUCCAAAACUAUGAGUGAAUAUAUGCAUACAUUGGGAUGGUUUUAAAAGGGACAACAUACUAAUCCUCUACUGUGGGAUAAAAUUGAAAACCUUUCUUUUUAAUUGACAGCAUCUCUCUCUCUAUCUCUCUGCAGUGCAUCUCUCUGUCUCAGUGCAUCUAUAUGUCAUUGAAUGGGUAAGAUUGUCAUGGUUGAACGAAGUGAAGUGAGCGCUGCAACUUACACACACACAAACACAGAGACACACACAGUCUCACACCGAGUGGUUCUGUCAAAGUGAGCCCCUAAAUAUAGCAAUAGCACCGUGUUAUUAUCACAGCAGGGGAGGUGCUCUGUUAUCUCUCACCCUUCACUCCCAUUGUUUUACUACUCCGGUAGAUGACAGCUUCACAAGGACUGGGGUCUAUUUGCUCUGUAUAUGGCCUGUUACAUAAGACUUGCAUGGACACUGGUUAUUUUGUUGUGUUUUCCACUAGCAACAGUUCUCGUGUCAAGAUUUAGGUGCCAGGAAGGAAAAAAAAACUCCCCUGCUUUGUGCCACAGUCACACCCAGUCUGAGAAAGUUUGUUUUAUUUGUGUUUUGAUCUUAAACUGUAUCAGCGUCAGUCAAAGUGAAAAGGUUUAAAAUGGUCCUCCUGUAGUGGUAUCAUCAGAUGAGGGAAAUAUGGGUCAUGGUUAAAUUCAAGAGACACCUGUAACUGCAUAUAAGCAACAGUUGGACUUAGCUGAACAUGUGAUGAGGAGGGCCUCUGCUCUGAAACCUGCCUUCUACAAUGCAGUCCCACUCACCAGAGAGCAUUGUUUCAUUUCUUCCUUUGUUACAAAGCAACGACAUGAAAAUGUCUGUCAAGGGCUUGCUGAGUCAUCCAUUCAGAACUGGCCACAGUGAACAGCAUGAUGAGAGGUGGUGGUCCAAGACACCUGCUGCGCUGCUGCCUGGCCUGGAACUGCCUAGCAGUCUGGAUCACUGGUUGUGGACAGACGCAAAGACAUGACAUACACGAAAACUCAUCCUUUAUUCAUUCACAAAAGCAAUUGUUAACCAGGCCGGAUGUGUACUAGCCUGUUUCAGGAUGUCUCAACAACAAAUAACUCAGCUCUUUAAAAAAAAAAUCUUUUUUAAAACUCUUAUAACACACAAAACAGUCCUCUUGCUCUACUUCACAUUGUUUACACCCAAACAAACGUGCUGUUUAUUCGGUGGUCAGGGGGAUUGGUACAAACCGGGGAGCGCUCAGACUUAGAGCAACAACACAAUUUGCCCCACAGUUGUACAGGGACAGGAUCAGAUUUAUUGGUACGCAGGGCUACAAAAAUGGUCUUAAAAAGUUGUCUUAUUUUCCAAAAACAGAAGGUCUCUCUAUCUCGGUUCAGCAUGAAAGUUAAACCAAACUUUAGCACAUUAUUGGUAGAAAUGAAACAUAAUAUGGAUGGAUGGAUUUAAAUUUGUGUAUUUUUACCUCAGUAUAAAAAUAGUUAGGGCUCUGUUAGAAUGAGCCUUUGUGUCCCUUAAUUCCACAGAGGCCACCAUCUUACACGGCGUGUUUCUACAGUAGCACAGAACACACAUUAGCAAAGAGUAUGUGGGUUUCCAUACCAAAUGUGUGGCUGCUAAGAAAUCAGGACAGAGGACUACAGAAAAGAAGAGAGCAGUUGUUAUUGUUGUGGGAAAAGAAUUUCAAUGAUCAUUUCUGAUGGUAAAACUUCAUGAAUCCUAGAUCAUAUUGUUUUCCAUGAGGUUCUCACUGUGAGGUGGUUGAAUCGCUCCAUCGGUAAGAAACAGCAGGACUGAGGUGAAUAACUUUCUCAGAUGCACUUAACUGAAUUCAUAUUUCAUCACUUUACAACAACAGCCCUUUCUUGCCACUCAGUCACAUGUCACAUAACUAACCAAUCAGAGGCUACAAUGAUCGUACUGAAAACCACAGUUGUACAUAGGAUAUAUUUAGAGCUGAAGAUGCUUUCAACAAUAUUUAAUAUCUUACUCAACAAAAAUUAACUUUGUCAGCCUAUAUAUGUAAAUUUUUAAUUGAGUAAAACGUUGUAAACAUAUUUUUAACCUUAACAUAAAUACACAGAUUAAAUCUAAUUUUGAUUUGACUUUGCUGCUGAGGCUUACAUUUGGGAUGCAGAUGACUUUAUGCUGAAAGCUCCUCAUGUGUAGAGGGGAUGGUUUACGUCCAUAAUGGUUUGAUCACUGGCCAAAACCCUUUGCUGCAUGUCUUGUCCAUAUACAGUCCAUGGUCCUGUCCCACUCCCUAAUCCCUCCAUUUCCUGUCUCUCUUCAGCUGUCCUACUCAAUAAAGGCAAGACUGAAUGAACUUAAAUUAACUCUUUUCAAAAAAGCUUAUGUUUACCAUGCAUUAAAGGAGCUUAUUUACCUCAAAGGGCAUCACCACUCUACCAAUGGGGACCACGUAAGGGAUUGUUUCAAUCAAAGAUGUGACAGCUGGUUAUGGCAAAAUAUUCCCAUGUCUACACACUGUACCUUCAACCUUAGAGGAUAAUAGCUGGGAAGGAAUGAUUCAAAAGUUUGAUCAAAAUGCAUGAAAGUUUCUCUGCUAAACAUUCAACUAAAACUUUUUAAACCACUUUACCUACAUUGAUUAAAAAUUUCAAAACACAUUUUCCCCAAAAUAAAAGAUUAACCCCAAGGAAUAGUUGUUGGUUUAUUCAAGAACUAGUUUUUUCGGACUGCGUUAUUAAUCAUUCUGCAAAACUCCCCUGAUAACUGCAAUGAUGAUAAAGUAUGUUGAUGAUCCUCUCUUUGUUUCACUUACAAGCAUCCUUUAAUGCAUUAUUGUGUGAUUAAACAAAGCCCGAGUUAGAUCAGUGGUGAUUUGUCAAACAUGCAUGACUCAGAUUUUCCAGACAUGAAACACAGGGCUACUUAAGUGAAAUAUUACAGUGUUUAACUGCAACCAUCUGUGUUUGUUUGUCUGUGCGCACAUGCGAGUGUGAUGUAACAUUUAUCAUCUGUAAGGAUGCUUUGCAGCACGUGUGUGUGUGCUGACAUGGCAAAGAAUAUCUGAAAGUCUUAUCAGAGUAUCUGCUUCCACAUUAGGCGCUUUUAUUUUUGUAGAGUACCAGGUCUUGCCUGUUCAAACAAAGAUUAGUGGUGUUACCUACGUGAGAUGUGAAGGAGAUUUAGCAUUCCACCUUUUGCGCGUCACCAAAGGCCAGUGUUUUCAGCAGAACAGUCUAAGGGGUCAGACAGGAUUUCCCCCUUCAGCAGCAGUCAACUACGUAAAUAUGGACCUGAAAAAAACAAGCUUUUGGAGACAGGGUCACAGGAAACUCCAACAAAGACUUGAUGACGUUGUAUCUAUAAAUAAAAUGUAUUUCCCAUCAAUCACCUCAAGUUUCCUUAGGAGAGACUU
Molecule: long non-coding RNA, 6150 nt
Filed under: Xyrichtys novacula (pearly razorfish)
Lineage: Eukaryota; Metazoa; Chordata; Actinopteri; Labriformes; Labridae
Source: RNAcentral